This 385-nucleotide transfer-messenger RNA is filed under the name Armatimonadaceae. Its description in RNAcentral is "JACMJB01 sp014380815 Standard tmRNA". It matches the Rfam family "transfer-messenger RNA". Rfam says of the family: Bacterial tmRNA, also known as 10Sa RNA or SsrA, is named for its dual tRNA and mRNA-like properties. Its role is to liberate the mRNA from a stalled ribosome. To accomplish this part of the tmRNA is used as a reading frame that ends in a translation stop signal. The record is from RNAcentral. Lineage: Bacteria; Bacillati; Armatimonadota; Armatimonadia; Armatimonadales. RNAcentral also lists the same sequence under 1 other name.
GGGGGCGAUUGGAGUUGACGGGGUACAGUUGGGACAGGUUGCGAGCCGAGGCGCCGCUGGCCUCGUAAAAAGCGGCAAAAACACAAAAGCGAACAACAACUUCGCAACCGCGCGCAACGCCAACGUUGCGCUCGUCGCUUAAUUAGCUCCGCUAGUUAACUGACACGUCGCGAUUGGUACUGGCGGAAUGGACCAGUCGUGGCUUACUAACAUCCGCUACCUAUCAGCGCAACGCCUGUAGCGCCGGGGGAAACACCACAGGAUCACCGCGACGAGAGCCUGUCUUUGGGCGAGCGACGUGGGACAUUUAAAACGAAGACUACGCUCGUAGAUGCUUGUUCUUCGCUGGCUUCGGACGGGAGUUCGAGUCUCCCCGCCUCUACUG